AUCUUGACCAACAACAUACAAACAACUCACCUAAAUGACGGAAAGUCGGCAUGUCUACUCAUGGACAUCAACAAGGCUUUUGAUAGUGUGUGGCAUAGGGGCUUACUAUUUAAACUAUACAAACUUCACACACCACCAUAUCUACUACACACCAUAAAAAACUUUAUUAUAUUAAAUUACAGUGACGAUUAACGACAGCCACAUGGCGAGGUUUCAUUUUACUUCCCGCCAACAACGCGCCUCUUGCAUUUGAUUACGGAACUAAUUUUGUGGUUAAGGCUAUCCCAUUGAGUUGUCAUGGGGGUAGCAUUCACGCUGUAAACGUCGCCAUGGCGCCCCCUCGGGGAUGUUCCGUUCAUUUAUGAGUAAGUUGCCUCGUAAGCAGGGCCUAGGGGGAGCUAACGACAAUCAAAAUCUUGGUCUGACCUUGACUAUUUGAGUGAGGCCCCCAUGUUAGUGACUGAUGCAACAUCAGCGCUGGCCUUUAGGCUGAUCAGCACAAAAUUGGCCGACUGGACAUUGAGGUGGAAGAUAACAAGGCUUUUAUUGCGGGCACUUCUACUCUUUGUGGAAGCGUGGCUUCAAUGAUUCAAUGUGUUCGGAAUUUUAUCAAAUCUGCAGGUGAACUGGGGUGAUUAUUUCACCCGAGUUCCAUGAAAAUGCGAAUGAAUCAAUUUUUAGGUUGCUCGCCCGAGUAUGCUUUAGAAGCAGCAAGUUUUUACCCUGCGCUAGCUUUGGGUAUUGAAAAACAUAAAGGGUCGCUCAGUUACGGAGCAGAUGCAGAGCAGAUUUUACUUACUCUAUGCAAGGAGUCAGUUACGAUAUAUGUGCUAGUGUGUCAGACCUGUUGAAGGGCAUUCGUAGCGCAAGCGCACAAAGUAUGGUUUAGUUCGUGUUUGAUCUUUGAAUCUAAAACUAACAGGAAGGAGUCUACGGUCAAAUCACAAAAUAUCCCCCUGGGGGUAUGUUCUGUGGGUCAAAUCAGUGCGACCGGAAGGGAGGUUGGAUAUGGCCGACCAGUCGGCCGCUUUGGCAGUGGCGUAGGGCAUUAGAAUAUGAUAAAAUGUGGAAAAUAUAGUAUACAAUGAUAAUAUAUUUGAUAAAAAAAUGGGAUCAACAUAGCUUAAUCUGUUGUAGUGAAUUAAUGAAGCUUGACGAGAUUAUACACAUCCUUAAAUUGGAUUAAUAUGUAA
Dendroctonus ponderosae (mountain pine beetle) is the source of this 1193-nucleotide long non-coding RNA. RefSeq lists it as uncharacterized. NCBI's taxonomy places the organism in Eukaryota, Metazoa, Arthropoda, Insecta, Coleoptera, Curculionidae. The record is from RefSeq and is a predicted model, not a curated record. The transcript has 2 exons.